Molecule: long non-coding RNA, 2597 nt
Filed under: Olea europaea subsp. europaea
Lineage: Eukaryota; Viridiplantae; Streptophyta; Magnoliopsida; Lamiales; Oleaceae
Source: RNAcentral
UGGGGAUCAAACGGGGGAUAAGUUUACAUAUUUCGCGUUUUUUGCAACAGUCGUUGCCUCUUACGCAUACCUACAUUUUUUGCAACGUUGCGAAAACGAACUCUUUUGCAGUGUUCAUUGAACGUUGCGAAAAAUUUACAUAUUUUGCGCUUUUUGCAACGGUCAUUGCCUCUUGCGAAAACUUACACUUUUUGUAACGUUUGUUUGAACGUUGAAAAAAAACUCUUUUGCAACUUUUGGGUGAACGUUGUUCAAGCACGCUCAUUCAUAACAUUUGCAACAUUCAAUUCAAACGUUGUUGAAGAGAAAUCCACUUCCAAUUAAUUAUUAAUCAGCCUAAAAUCAGUUAGCCCAAUUUUACCCAUACCAAAAUUAAGAGAAGAAUAACGUCAACCCUAUAUCCACCUACUCUCCUCUCAUUCACAUUAUGCACUGAGGAGUUAAAUGUUUCACUAGCUACUGAACUUUGACCUAUGUCACGACUUACUCACCGAACUUUCAAACUUAUCCCAUUAACCACUGAACUUCAAUCCGGUAAUGUCCAUUACUCAUUGGAUCAGAUACGUUAAUUGACGGAUCUACGUGGUAAACAGAAAAUCUAGCUGGCCAGUUAAAUUUUUACAAAUGUUAAAUGAUUUGCCAAAUAAUUGACCACAUCAGUAUUAAACACACGCCAUCCCCAACUCUAUUACACGCCUUUCCUUGAACAGGCUUCCUCCAUAAAAUUUCACUCACCGAAAUUGCUAACUUUCAGGGAAGAAAAUGAACCCUAAUCGAAAUUGAAACCCUAAAUCCCCCAAAUCUAAACCCUGAGCUCGAAAUCAAGGUCCUUGACCCCAUUGCUAAGUACUCAAACAGCCUGCGCAAGCAUGAAGAAGCAGCUCCCAUUCCGUUUACAACACGAGGAUAAAUUUCAAGCUUAUGGGUUUUAUUGGGCUUUGUAGUUGCUAUUCAUCUGACACUUAUGGGUUUUGUAGCUGCUAUUUUGGGUUUUGCAGUUGCUAUUCCCGUAUCUGAAAAUUUUGAAGUUGCUAUUCAUAUGACAUUUAUGGGUUUUACAAAUCUGAAAAAUAUUUAUUUACAUGGUUUCUUUUGGGAAUUGUAAUUGUACUCUUCCUCCCAACACUUAGAUUAAUUCACAGAAAUUCACAGAAUCCCGUGUCUCAUUUGAAUGACCUUCGUAACAUGAUUUAAUUGUUCAACCAGAUUGAUAUAGUUUGAUUCUGCUUGAGUUCUCGACUUGGAUACUUGGUUGAUUGGUUGAGUAGGGUUGAAUCAUUUGAUAGCUAAUUAAUUCCCAACAUCUAUACUAUAGUAGCAAAUAUAUAUAUUUAAAGUUUGGCCACAGUUUGUUGUUCUCUAUUUGACUAUUUGACGGUUUGCAUCCAUUCUUGUUAAUGUGGUUUAAUUGUAUGACAGAUUGUGAGUAAGUUCCUACUACUACACGCCUUUUACUUUGAUACCAAUGGUCUGGUUAUAGUAAAUUCCAACAAGAUCGUGUCAAGGAGAACCAAGAAUCAAUUGAAUCACAGAGCGACUGUGUAGUUAAUGAAAAAGAGUCUGUAGUAUUUCACCCCUGAAUGCACUCAAGAUGCAUUUCUUGAUUUGCUUCUUCCUAGCCUCCCUAUCUUUAGUAAAUUUUUUCUUACUCAAAAAUUUUCUCUAGUUUCUUCAAAUUGCUGUUGGUGUUCAGUUAUAGUUUUUAUUUGAUUGCAUCAAGUUCAGCGACUAAAGCUGUAUAUUGAACUCAUUUUGGUAAAUCCAAAUUUAUAACAUGAGCAACACUAGAUCUUAGUGCUUGUUCUUGUUAGAAAUAACGUGGGUCGACUUUGGCUUUACAACAAAAUGGAAUUGAGAAACCGCAGCUGAAAAUGGACACAAGUAUUUACGUGGUUCACCCAAUUUAGGCUACGUCCACGGGCAAGUAUAGGAGGAUUUCACUAUAGUAGGAGAAUUACAACACUCUCUAAAUACAAGGAGAUAACAACAAUUAAUCUCUCUUGUAAUAUGAGAAUACAAGGAGGUAAUACUUAGGAGAAACUAAUAAUUUUUCUUUCUACUCCCAAUCUUCUCUCUACUCUCUAAUUCCUCUCAGGUUGCUUGGCUUCUCUCUCCCCACAUCUACCUCUAUUUAUAGAAAUUGUUAACCUCCUUAAUGGAAGUAUCUACAUGAAAACAAGAAGAAUUUCAAAAUGAAUUUUCUUCUUAAAUAGUCAAAUAUGGUGGCUAAGAGAGUUUCACUUCAAUUUUGCCACUUCCAAGUUGUGAUUGGUGGAAAGGAAUUCAAAUUCAAGUUGGUCACUUGCAACUUGAAAACUUCUUCAUGAAGUUUCAACAAUUUUUAUUGGAGUCAACAAUUGUGGCUUUAAUAUUCAACAUUUCUCCCACUUAAAGUCACUUUUNUGAAAAAAUGUUGAUUAAGUUUGCCAUGCAUAACUCUAAAUCAGUUUCACUUCCAUUGGCCAGCCAUUUUAAACUCAGUAAGGAGCAAUGUCCUGUAAAUGAAUCUGACAUUAGACAAAUGGAAAAUGUACCCUAUGCUAAUGCCGUAGGUUCUGUUAUGUACACUAUGGUAUGUACUAGGCCUGAUGUAGCUC